AUUUAAAUAAUUUAAUAAAAAUAUUGAUUUGUGGAGUCAAAAAUAUGAGGGAAUCAUUUUAAAUU
This 65-nucleotide transfer RNA is filed under the name Lethe marginalis. Its description in RNAcentral is "tRNA-His". The record is from RNAcentral. Lineage: Eukaryota; Metazoa; Arthropoda; Insecta; Lepidoptera; Nymphalidae.